AAGAAAAAUCGAUUUUCUUAGUAGCGGCGAGCGAAAGGGAAAGAGCCCAAACCGGAAACUUGUUUCCGGGGUUGUGGACAUAACAUAAAAGUGGAGGCUAUUGUAACUGAAGAGAACUGGAAAGUUCCACCGUAGAAGGUAAUAGUCCUGUAAGUGAAACGAGAAGACCACGAGUUAUGAUCCAGAGUACCACGAGACACGUGAAACCUUGUGGGAAGCAGGGAGGACCACCUCCCAAGGCUAAAUACUACCUGAUGACCGAUAGUGAAGCAGUACCGUGAGGGAAAGGUGAAAAGAACCCCGGGAGGGGAGUGAAAUAGAACCUGAAACCGUGUGCCUACAACCGCUCAGAGCCCCUUAUGAGGGUGAUGAGGUGCUUUUUGUAGAACGAGCCAACGAGUUACGGUAUGUAGCAAGGUUAAGUACUUAAGGUACGGAGCCGAAGGGAAACCGAGUCUGAAUAGGGCGACUAGUUGCAUGCCGUAGACCCGAAACCGGGUGACCUAUCCAUGGCCAGGUUGAAGCGAGGGUAAAACCUCGUGGAGGACCGAACCACGUUGCUGUUGAAAAAGCAUGGGAUGAGCUGUGGAUAGCGGAGAAAUUCCAAUCGAACCCGGAGAUAGCUGGUUCUCUCCGAAAUAGCUUUAGGGCUAGCGUCGAGUAUGAGUAGUGGAGGUAGAGCACUGAAUGGGCUAGGGGGCAUAGCGCUUACCGAACCUUAUCAAACUCCGAAUGCCACAUACUUUGAGCUCGGCAGUCAGACUACGAAUGAUAAGAUCCGUGGUCAAAAGGGAAACAGCCCAGAUCGUCAGCUAAGGUCCCAAAGUGUAAGUUAAGUGGGAAAGGAUGUGAGAUUUCUAAGACAACUAGGAUGUUGGCUUAGAAGCAGCCAUUCAUUAAAAGAGUGCGUAAUAGCUCACUAGUCGAGAGAUCUUGCGCCGAAAAUGUAACGGGGCUAAACUUACCACCGAAGCUACGGGCUUGAACUUAGUUCAAGCGGUAGGAGAGCGUCGUAACCGGGCUGAAGUCGUACCGUAAGGAGCGGUGGACUGGUUACGAGUGAGAAUGUUGGCAUCAGUAGCGAGAUGUGGGUGAGAAUCCCACAGGCCGAAAACCUAAGGUUUCCUCAGGAAGGUUCGUCCGCUGAGGGUUAGUCGGGACCUAAGCCGAGGCCGAAAGGCGUAGGUGAUGGACAACUGGUUGAUAUUCCAGUACCACUACCAUCGUUAUUAUCGAUGGCGUGACGCAGGAGGAUAGUGUGUGCUAGCUAUUGGAUGCUAGUCUAAGCGUUUAGGCAGUGAGAGUAGGCAAAUCCGCUCUCAUAAUGCUGAGGCGUGAUGGGGAAGGUUCUACGGAACCGAAGUACAUGAUUCCACGCUGCCAAGAAAAGCGUCUAGAGAGAGAAGUAGUGCCCGUACCGCAAACCGACACAGGUAGGUGAGGAGAGAAUCCUAAGGCCGGCGGAAGAAUUACAGUUAAGGAACUCGGCAAAUUGACCCCGUAAGUUCGCGAGAAGGGGUGCCUACGAGAGUAGGCCGCAGAGAAUAGGCCCAAGCAACUGUUUAGCAAAAACACAGGUCUCUGCUAAAGCGUAAGCUGAUGUAUAGGGGCUGACGCCUGCCCGGUGCUGGAAGGUUAAGGGGAACACUUAGCGCAAGCGAAGGUGUGAACUUAAGCCCCAGUAAACGGCGGCCGUAACUAUAACGGUCCUAAGGUAGCGAAAUUCCUUGUCAGGUAAGUUCUGACCCGCACGAAUGGCGUAAUGACUUGGGCACUGUCUCAACUGUAAAUCCGGCGAAGUUGUAGUGCGAGUGAAGAUGCUCGCUACCCGCGAUUGGACGGAAAGACCCCGUAGAGCUUUACUGUAGCUUAGCAUUGAGUUUUGGUAUUGUCUGUACAGGAUAGGUGGGAGACUAGGAAACCAGGGCGUCAGCCUUGGUGGAGUCAACCUUGGGAUACCACCCUGACAGUACUGAAAUUCUAACUGGCGGCCAUGAAUCUGGUCACAGGACAUUGUUAGGUGGGCAGUUUGACUGGGGCGGUCGCCUCCUAAAAAGUAACGGAGGCGCCCAAAGGUUCCCUCAGAACGGUCGGAAAUCGUUCGAAGAGUGCAAAGGCAGAAGGGAGCCUGACUGCGACACCCACAAGUGGAGCAGGGACGAAAGUCGGGCUUAGUGAUCCGGUGGUACCUCGUGGGAGGGCCAUCGCUCAACGGAUAAAAGCUACCUCGGGGAUAACAGGCUGAUCUCCCCCAAGAGUCCACAUCGACGGGGAGGUUUGGCACCUCGAUGUCGGCUCGUCGCAUCCUGGGGCUGAAGUAGGUCCCAAGGGUUGGGCUGUUCGCCCAUUAAAGCGGCACGCGAGCUGGGUUCAGAACGUCGUGAGACAGUUCGGUCCCUAUCCGUCGCGGGCGUAGGAAAUUUGAGAGGAGCUGUCCUUAGUACGAGAGGACCGGGAUGGACUGACCUCUGGUGUACCAGUUGUUCCGCCAGGAGCACAGCUGGGUAGCUAAGUCGGGAAUGGAUAAACGCUGAAAGCAUCUAAGCGUGAAGCCAACCUCAAGAUGAGAUUUCCCAUAGCGUAAGCUAGUAAGAUCCCUUGAAGAACACAAGGUUGAUAGGUCGGGGGUGUAAGCAUGGUAACAUGUUCAGCUGACCGAUACUAAUAGAUCG
This 2672-nucleotide ribosomal RNA is filed under the name Clostridium perfringens. RNAcentral describes it as "partial 23S ribosomal RNA". It matches the Rfam family "Bacterial large subunit ribosomal RNA". The record is from RNAcentral. Lineage: Bacteria; Bacillati; Bacillota; Clostridia; Eubacteriales; Clostridiaceae.